GAAUAUGAAGCGAUUUAUUGCAAUUAGUUUCGACCUAAUUUUAGGUAGUCAAUACCCUUAUUCU
Molecule: transfer RNA, 64 nt
Filed under: Anastrepha striata
Lineage: Eukaryota; Metazoa; Arthropoda; Insecta; Diptera; Tephritidae
Description: tRNA-Arg
Source: RNAcentral